This 497-nucleotide ribosomal RNA is filed under the name uncultured bacterium. RNAcentral describes it as "partial 16S ribosomal RNA". It matches the Rfam family "Bacterial small subunit ribosomal RNA", at positions 28 to 507 of the family's 1533-position model. The record is from RNAcentral.
GAUGAACGCUGGCGGCGUGCCUAAUACAUGCAAGUCGAGCGAACAGACGAGGAUCUUGCUCCUCUGACGUUAGCGGCGGACGGGUGAGUAACACGUGGAGAACCUACCUAUAAGACUGGGAUAACUUCGGGAAACCGGAGCUAAUACCGGAUAAUAUAUUGAACCGCAUGGUUCAAUAGUGAAAGACGGUUUUGCUGUUACUUAUAGAUGGAUCCGCGCCGCAUUAGCUAGUUGGUAAGGUAACGGCUUACCAAGGCAACGAUGCGUAGCCGACCUGAGAGGGUGUCAGUCGACACUGCAACUGGAACACGGUCCAGGCUCCUACGGGGGGCCGCAGUAGGCAAUCUUCCGCAAUAGGCGAAAGCCUGACGGAGCAACGCCGCGUGAGUGAUGAAGGUCUUGGGGUCGUAAAGCUCUGUGAUUAGGGAAGAACAAAUGUGUAAGUAGCUGUGCACGUCUUGACGGUACCUAAUCAGAAAGCCACGGCUAACUCCGUG